CACUAUGCCGGAGAACAAAUCACUAUGAGAAAGAAUACAAAAAGGUCUUACAAGUCUCAACUCACAAGACUAACGCUCACAAGGCAGACUUGCCUACUUGCCUUUGCUACUCAACCCAACCAGCGAUCUUGUCUUCCUUCGUCAACAAGAGAUGGCACAACUCUGGUCUCGACUGCUCACACCUCAAGGCACGAUUGCUGAUCACCAACAUGCAUAAUGC
RNAcentral lists this long non-coding RNA (220 nucleotides) under Prunus persica (peach). RNAcentral's name for it is "long non-coding RNA (PPER_LNC004723)". Lineage: Eukaryota; Viridiplantae; Streptophyta; Magnoliopsida; Rosales; Rosaceae. The record is from RNAcentral.